UUGUUGGGUGGAUGAGUGGCGAACGGGUGAGUAACACGUGAGUAACCUGCCCCCUUCUUUGGGAUAACGCCCGGAAACGGGUGCUAAUACUGGAUAUUCACUGAUCUUCGCAUGGGGGUUGGUGGAAAGGUUUUUUCUGGUGGGGGAUGGGCUCGCGGCCUAUCAGCUUGUUGGUGGGGUGAUGGCCUACCAAGGCUUUGACGGGUAGCCGGCCUGAGAGGGUGACCGGUCACAUUGGGACUGAGAUACGGCCCAGACUCCUACGGGAGGCAGCAGUGGGGAAUAUUGCACAAUGGGCGAAAGCCUGAUGCAGCGACGCCGCGUGAGGGAUGGAGGCCUUCGGGUUGUAAACCUCUUUCGCUCAUGGUCAAGCCGCAACAUUGGUUGUGGUGAGGGUAGUGGGUAAAGAAGCGCCGGCUAACUACGUGCCAGCAGCCGCGGUAAUACGUAGGGCGCGAGCGUUGUCCGGAAUUAUUGGGCGUAAAGGGCUUGUAGGCGGUUGGUCGCGUCUGCCGUGAAAUCCUCUGGCUUAACUGGGGGCGUGCGGUGGGUACGGGCUGACUUGAGUGCGGUAGGGGAGACUGGAACUCCUGGUGUAGCGGUGGAAUGCGCAGAUAUCAGGAAGAACACCGGUGGCGAAGGCGGG
RNAcentral lists this ribosomal RNA (646 nucleotides) under uncultured Actinomycetes bacterium. RNAcentral describes it as "bacterial SSU rRNA". It matches the Rfam family "Bacterial small subunit ribosomal RNA", at positions 80 to 725 of the family's 1533-position model. The record is from RNAcentral. Lineage: Bacteria; Bacillati; Actinomycetota; Actinomycetes.